ACCUGGGAUCCGAACCGGUGAACCCUGGGCUGCUGAAGCAGAACGUUUGAACUUAACCGCUGCGCCACCAGGCUGGCUCCACCAGGCUGUUUCUAAGACAGCUCAGCCUGAGACUAUAGACCCCUGGGCCAGGUCUUCAAAGGCCCUCCUUACUAGAGUUUGAGCUGUGUGCGAGAACACACAUCAGGGUAUAGACAGAAAGAAUGUAUAUGGCUCUUGAGUAUGGCCAGUACAUUGCUGAUCUUGCCACCCCAGUGUCGUGCCCUGAGCCUGGCCCAGAGCAGGUGCUAGGUUAACACAGUGGCUGAAUGAACCUACCUUCUCUUCCCCAGGCUGGGCUCCUUUGGCUAUUGCAGUUGGCUUCCAGAAUCCAUCCCGAUCAUUGUGGAUUAAUGGCUUUUGCAGUCCAGUGAAGGUUAAUGAAACCAGUGCUUCAUAAUCAAUUCCUCCAUCCUGAUUUUGAGGGGUGUGCCAAGGGGCAGCUACAAACCAGUGAGUAAUAAUUACUUGGAAACAUGCUGAAUUCAGCAUUUUAUGUGACGAUCUGAUUUUUAUUUUGCAACCCAGUGUGUAAAGUGAAAGCCCAGAUGAGCAUCUGCUGCAUGUGAUUAGAGGCAGUGCAGUUCUGGGGAAAGAGGGCUGGUCUUGGAGUCCCCCUGGACCCGUGACCUUGGACGAGGUGCUCAGUGCCUCUGGGCUCCAGUUUUCUCUUGAGUAAAAUGAGAGCAUUAGACUCUAAGCUUCUUCCUAUGCUUAAUGUAAAUACUUAAAAAAUGGCUGGUUGCAUCUGAAGUCAACCCACCUUAAGUGCCUUUCAAGUGAUGAUUUGCUUGAAUAUGGUCUGUUUUCAUUGUUUAGCUUUUCUAACACCUUUCACUUAACCCUUCCACUGCCGGUGCCUUCCACAUUUGCAAGGUCUUCACCCUUCUUUUUGACUGCUUCUUCGGGUUCCAGUAAUUUAUGUUGGAUUCCAGUCAUUGAAUCACCUGCCCCUUUGCUCUGCCCGGAGUCUCUUUACUCCCCAGCAGUCUCAAUGCCCUGGCAAAGCAUAGAGAGAGGUCCUGGUCUCCCGUCUCUUCCAACCCCACAAUCCUCACUUCCCUGCGAAAACAAGUCUGAAAAAUCAGGCAGGUUUCUCUUCUGGAGAUUAUCACUCUCACCACUAGAUGGCACUGUAUGUAAGUCAUCAGUGCAGACAAAAACUUUAAUUUUAUUAAGUAUUUAUACUCCCCUUCAAUCCACAAAAACUUUGAAGGGAAUUAUAAAAGUACAAAAUAUACAAAAAGGUAAAGCGAAAAGCUGAGGGAAUUGGAGAAAAUAGAGGACGAAUGGAAGAAAGAAUUCCAGGAUGCCAUCAGCCCAAGGAGAUGGAUGCCAGCAGAGGCUCACACGAUUGGCUUCAAGCUUCCAAACAGCCCAAGUAAAGACGGAAAUGUGAGUGGUAACGAAAUUCCAGGUUUUUUAAAUGAGAAAAACAAAGUAGUUAGUUAUUCAGAAGCACAACUUCUCCUGACCCUGAGACCAGAGAGAGAUUUUUUCCUGUGGGUCCUUGGAGAGAGGACAUUGACGGAAGAGUGAAACAAACACCAGGAAGGUCAUUGGAGCUGUUUCUAUGAUAUCCUUCUAUGCAGGCCUAUGGCAUGAUGCUAAAGUGCAGUUGAGGAAAGGCAGUUCUGUGGGGCUCGAACACUGGGUUUCCAGGACAUAGUAAAUUCACUGCUGUGUGCCUUGUAUUUUCAAACAGAGAAAUCUGCACACACCCUUUCUUCCCCUGGGUUUGGGUGGAGUUUGGGGAGAGGGAGCUCUCCAUGGAGCCUGUGGUAACCAGUCCCCUAGAUGGCCCCCAAUGACCCCCACCUCCUGGUUUUCAUACCUUUGUAGAGUCCCCUCCCACACUGUACCAGGGGCUGGUCUGUGUGACCAGCAGAGUACAGGAGAAGUGGUGGCAUGUCAGUUCUGAGAUUAGAUUAUAAAAGCCAUCAUAGCUUCUCGCUUGGUACCUCUGUCUCUGUCUUGUCUCUCUCUUUCUGUCAAAUCAUUUGCUCUGGGCGAAGCCAGCUGCCACGUCAUGAGGAGUCCUAUGGAGAGACUCAUGAAGCAAAGAGCUGAGGCCUCUUGGCAGCAGCCAGCAUCAACUGGCUAGUCAUGUGUGUGAGCCACUUUGGAAGGAGAUGCUCCAGCCCCGGUCAAGCCUUCAGAUGACUGCAGCCCCAACUGACACCUUGACUGAGACUUUAUGAGAGACCCUGGGCCAGACCAUCCAGCAAAGUCAGUCCUUACCUCGGUCUGUGAACAAGGCGGUUCUCUCUGUCCUGUGCCUGGAGCUCAUCUCCUGCAAAUGCGUUCCCAAAAAGUGGAACGCUUAGCCUAAUGCCUUUGAAAUGGGAACUGUUGCGAGAUCUAAGUGGCCUCUUCAAACUCAAGAUGCAAACACACUGUGCUGUUGGAGGCUGCGUGGAGCUGAGACUAUGUCCAUGGAGUCUCAUGAUUUUUGAUUCAAAUGCUCUAGGCCUACCUACUACGGCUCUUAAUGAAAGUUUUAAAAAAUUUUUGUUUAAAGAUGUAUUUAGUCUUAUUUCUGUGUAAUAAAGCAUUUGGCUGGCCUUUG
Molecule: non-coding RNA, 2608 nt
Organism: Equus caballus (horse)
Lineage: Eukaryota; Metazoa; Chordata; Mammalia; Perissodactyla; Equidae
Source: RefSeq, a predicted model, not a curated record